UACCAGCACCCCGAGUGGUCGGGACGUUUAUUGGGCCUAAAGCAUCCGUAGCCGGUUCUACAAGUCUUCCGUUAAAUCCAGCUGCUUAACAGAUGGGCUGCGGAAGAUACUAUGGAGCUAGGAGGCGGGAGAGGCAAGCGGUACUCGAUGGGUAGGGGUAAAAAUCCGUUGAUCCAUUGAAGACCACCAGUGGCGAAGGCGGCUUGCCAGAACGCGCUCGACGGUGAGGGAUGAAAGCUGGGGGAGCAAACCGG
RNAcentral lists this ribosomal RNA (254 nucleotides) under uncultured bacterium. Its description in RNAcentral is "partial 16S ribosomal RNA". It matches the Rfam family "Archaeal small subunit ribosomal RNA", at positions 474 to 727 of the family's 1478-position model. The record is from RNAcentral.